Cavia porcellus (domestic guinea pig) is the source of this 426-nucleotide long non-coding RNA. RefSeq lists it as uncharacterized. The record is from RefSeq and is a predicted model, not a curated record. Lineage: Eukaryota; Metazoa; Chordata; Mammalia; Rodentia; Caviidae. The transcript is spliced from 2 exons.
ACCUGCAGAUAAGGGAAGUGGGGAGCAUGAGGCCCAGAAAGCAUCCAAACCUAGCUGGUGUCUGAGCCAGUACCACGCUCCUGAGAUGGAUGGGCUACGCAGCUCAGUCUACCCCGAUCAGCUGUGUGCUUGACCUCCCCAUGCCUUCCCUUUUUCCUGCUGGAGUGACACCAUCUGCCUCACGUUGCCAGGUACAGCCCCGCCAGCUCCCCAACCAGCUCGUGGUUGGGGACGAUUUUCCAGAUGAUGUCACCUGGAUGGGAGUGAGAGAGGUCCUAAAAUCAGGGAAGAUGGCAAGUGGCUGCCACCACCCAUCCAAGGACUUAGAAACCACAGAAAACAGGAACGGCACUGACUGUACAACUCUAAGAAGUCUCCUCAUCUCUGACCUUGGUUUUCUUCCAAAUAAAAGAUAGAGCUACUCAC